AGUGCUGCAAGGAUGUGAGCAGCAGUUUCCCUUCAACGAACGGGUCAAAUUCAUGGAAGCCACGUGCCUGCUGCUUCUGGCCUACACAAACAUGCAGCCACCAUAAUAAAGUUCUUGCAAAGACAUUCUACACGAACUUGCCCAAAGGCGGAAGGAAAACACGCACAGAUGGACGCACAGAAAUCAUGGGGCUGCCGAAGAAGCUGUGAAUGAGCAUUAACCUACGUACAAAAAGGAGCGAAGUGGAGAUGUCCAUGGGCCGUGCACACAGUUUCAUAAGCAAGCUUGCAACUCUUUUGACAAAUAUGUUCCUGAAUACAUCUG
Long non-coding RNA from Rhipicephalus sanguineus (brown dog tick), 324 nucleotides. RefSeq lists it as uncharacterized. The transcript has 3 exons. The record is from RefSeq and is a predicted model, not a curated record. NCBI's taxonomy places the organism in Eukaryota, Metazoa, Arthropoda, Arachnida, Ixodida, Ixodidae.